This 200-nucleotide long non-coding RNA is filed under the name Zostera marina. Its description in RNAcentral is "long non-coding RNA (ZMAR_LNC000901)". Lineage: Eukaryota; Viridiplantae; Streptophyta; Magnoliopsida; Alismatales; Zosteraceae. The record is from RNAcentral.
UGGUGAGAGAGGAUCGUACAUCCAGGGACAUCACCAGAAAUCCACAUCCCAGCACGCAAAGAGGGGGGGAAUACUGAUAGUACAGGGUCCGACACACAGACCAUAGUACUAAAAGACGUAUCCCAAAGUACCUAGUACGCAGAGGAGGGGGGAGUACUGGUGAUACAGUAUCCCGAACACGGUCACAACCUACCAGCAAC